GGGACACGUGGUAUCCUGUCUGAAUAUGGGGGGACCAUCCUCCAAGGCUAAAUACUCCUGACUGACCGAUAGUGAACCAGUACCGUGAGGGAAAGGCGAAAAGAACCCCGGCGAGGGGAGUGAAAAAGAACCUGAAACCGUGUACGUACAAGCAGUGGGAGCACGCUUAGGCGUGUGACUGCGUACCUUUUGUAUAAUGGGUCAGCGACUUAUAUUCUGUAGCAAGGUUAACCGAAUAGGGGAGCCGAAGGGAAACCGAGUCUUAACUGGGCGUUAAGUUGCAGGGUAUAGACCCGAAACCCGGUGAUCUAGCCAUGGGCAGGUUGAAGGUUGGGUAACACUAACUGGAGGACCGAACCGACUAAUGUUGAAAAAUUAGCGGAUGACUUGUGGCUGGGGGUGAAAGGCCAAUCAAACCGGGAGAUAGCUGGUUCUCCCCGAAAGCUAUUUAGGUAGCGCCUCGUGAAUUCAUCUCCGGGGGUAGAGCACUGUUUCGGCAAGGGGGUCAUCCCGACUUACCAACCCGAUGCAAACUGCGAAUACCGGAGAAUGUUAUCACGGGAGACACACGGCGGGUGCUAACGUCCGUCGUGAAGAGGGAAAC
RNAcentral lists this ribosomal RNA (604 nucleotides) under Escherichia coli. RNAcentral describes it as "partial 23S ribosomal RNA". It matches the Rfam family "Bacterial large subunit ribosomal RNA", at positions 419 to 1023 of the family's 2925-position model. The record is from RNAcentral. Lineage: Bacteria; Pseudomonadati; Pseudomonadota; Gammaproteobacteria; Enterobacterales; Enterobacteriaceae.